RNAcentral lists this ribosomal RNA (544 nucleotides) under uncultured bacterium. RNAcentral's name for it is "partial 16S ribosomal RNA". It matches the Rfam family "Bacterial small subunit ribosomal RNA", at positions 355 to 902 of the family's 1533-position model. The record is from RNAcentral.
UGGGGAAUAUUGGACAAUGGGCGGAAGCCUGAUCCAGCAACGCCGCGUGAGGGAUGACGGCCUUCGGGUUGUAAACCUCUUUCAGUACCGACGAAGCGAAAGUGACGGUAGGUACAGAAGAAGGACCGGCCAACUACGUGCCAGCAGCCGCGGUAAUACGUAGGGUCCGAGCGUUGUCCGGAAUUAUUGGGCGUAAAGGGCUCGUAGGCGGUUUGUCGCGUCGGGAGUGAAAACAGCGGGCUUAACUCGUUGCUUGCUUUCGAUACGGGGCAGACUAGAGGUAUGCAGGGGAGAAUGGAAUUCCUGGUGUAGGCGGUGAAAUUGCGCAGAUAUCAGGAGGAACACCGGUGGCGAAGGCGGUUCUCUGGGCAUUACCUGACGCUGAGGAGCGAAAGUGUGGGGAGCGAACAGGAUUAGAUACCCCUGGUAGUCCACACCGUAAACGUUGGGGCGNUAGGUGUGGGGUCCUUUCCACGGAUUCCGUGCCGUAGCUAACGCAUUAAGCGCCCCGCCUGGGGGAGUACGGCCGCAAGGCUCAAAACUG